CCACAGUCAUCCUGGUUAUGAAUGUUGGCUUUCAGGAAUAGACGUCAGCACUCAGAUGCUUAAUCAGCAAUUUAAGGAACCCUUUGUAGCAGUUGUGAUUGACCCAACCAGGACAACAUCUGCUGGAAAGGUUAAUUUAGGUGCAUUCAGGACAUAUCCAAAGGGUUACAAACCACUAGAUGAAGGCCUGUCAGAGUACCAGACAAUUACUUUAAACAAAAUUGAGGAUUUGGGGGUGCAUUGCAAACGAUAUUAUGCCUUGGAGGUUACAUAUUUCAAGUCUUCCCUAGAUCGCAAGCUACUUGAGCUCUUAUGGAACAAGUAUUGGGUUAAUACACUGAGUUCUUCCUGCUUGCUAACUAAUGCAGACUAUACAAUGGGGCAGGUAUUUCACUUGUCAGAAAAGCUUGAGCAGUCUGAAGGCCAGCUUGGCCUGGGAAGUUUUACACAAACUGGCCAAAGCAAUCAGAGACAGCUGUAAAACAACAAUUGAAGCCAUCCAUGGAUUGAUGUCUCAAGUGAUU
Pelobates cultripes (western spadefoot toad) is the source of this 524-nucleotide non-coding RNA. The record is from the annotation of a GenBank genome assembly. Lineage: Eukaryota; Metazoa; Chordata; Amphibia; Anura; Pelobatidae.